GAUGAACGCUGGCGGCGUGCCUAAUACAUGCAAGUCGAGCGAACGGACGAGAAGCUUUCUUCUCUGAUGUUAGCGGCGGACGGGUGAGUAACACGUGGAUAACCUACCUAUAAGACUGGGAUAACUUCGGGAAACCGGAGCUAAUACCGGAUGAUAUUUUGAACCGCAUGGUUCAAAAGUGAAAGACGGUUUUGCUGUCACUUAUAGAUGGAUCCGCGCUGCAUUAGCUAGUUGGUAAGGUAACGGCUUACCAAGGCAACGAUGCAUAGCCGACCUGAGAGGGUGAUCAGCCACACUGGAACUGAGACACGGUCCAGACUCCUACGGGAGGCAGCAGUAGGGAAUCUUCGGCAAUGGGCGAAAGCCUGACGGAGCAACGCCGCGUGAGUGAUGAAGGUCUUCGGAUCGUAAAACUCUGUUAUUAGGGAAGAACAUAUGUGUAAGUAACUGUGCACAUCUUGACGGUACCUAAUCAGAAAGCAACGGCUAACUACGUG
This 497-nucleotide ribosomal RNA is filed under the name uncultured bacterium. RNAcentral's name for it is "partial 16S ribosomal RNA". It matches the Rfam family "Bacterial small subunit ribosomal RNA", at positions 28 to 507 of the family's 1533-position model. The record is from RNAcentral.